GGUUCGGGCGUCCUCUCCCAGCCGCCUCCUCUUCUCCCUCGACCAUGAGGCUCCUCUCGCGCCGCCCGCCUCCUCUUCUCCUUCCUUUCUCUGGACCGGGUGCGUAGUCGCCGCCGUUUAUGUCCGCGCAGCCGACCAGCUUCGCGGUGCCCGGAGCGCCUCCGGAGUUCGUCCCCCCUUCCCUGCUACUCUGCUCUCAUUAGGGAAGGUCGGAUCCAUUCACCCCCUCGCCCGGCAUCGCUCGGUGAAUAAGACAGACGAAAUUGAUGUGCGCUUCCUCUCCUCUCGCCCAACGAAGGCGGAAGAUGCAAGCGGUGGCUCCUCACCUAGCCGUACGGUGAUGGAUUCAAUGGAGAAGAGGAAGCAUGUUCCCUCCAUUACCUGGAAGUGAGUAUGCAAGAUAACUUCAAGCAAAGUGUACAGAGGCUGCAGCUGAAGCUGGAUUUUGAAGGUUGCAAGUUGGAUUCUAUUGGAACAAUCACUGAAAAUGAUGAGAGAGUUUGUCUCACAUGUGCUGCUCACUGAUGAGAAGUAGAUUGAAGUGAAUGGUGCUAGAGAAGAAGGAGCGGUCGGGAAAGUACACCAGUGAUGCCCUGCAAGGCGAGCAACAGGAAGCUAAGGAGAUGCUUAGUGUAAUCCCUGAGAAGCAAAGAGCGAACCAAAGAACAUGUCCGCUUCAAGGGUGCAACAGGAGUAGUCUGAUGAUAAGGCUGAAGCUAUUUCAGCAACUGUUGAAGGAAAGAAUGAUAAGGCUGACCAGUGUUAGAUGACCAAGACCGAAAACAAAAGAAUAACUUCUAAAAAAGGAGCUCUACUACUGGAAGGCAUAUUAAAGAAAUCAAGGCAGUGACUACUCUGCGCCAGCUAUGCAGAGAUUAAUUACCUAUAGGUUACCUAUCCUAUAAUAUUAGCUUCUCCUCGACUGACAUCUCAAGAGGAAAAUGGUCCUUCAUGCAACUAGGCUCACCAUCAACAAUGCUCCGCUACAAUGCUCUUUGACCAGCUUCAAGAGAGUCUCUUAAUGCGUCUGCUACUUGCAUGAACAAAGCCACGACCAGGAUUUAUGUAACCAGUGAACUGAAUGCUCCUUAUUAAGCAUGCUCUAAAACUAGAGUCUUUGGCUGCUCAGGUAGCUAUCUCAAAGCAAAGCAAAAACAAAAACUCCCGUAUAUUAUGAAGUGAACUCUAGCUUAUUGUGCA
Non-coding RNA from Triticum urartu, 1200 nucleotides. Lineage: Eukaryota; Viridiplantae; Streptophyta; Magnoliopsida; Poales; Poaceae. The record is from RefSeq and is a predicted model, not a curated record.